AUGGGUGCAAGAGCAGUGGCGGCGGCUGUCCUCCCGCUUCUCCUUCUGGUUGUCGCUACCAGCGCCCACGGCGGCGCCCAUGGUCGGCGGCCGAUAAGCCGGACGAGCUUCCCCAAGGGCUUCGUCUUUGGGACGGCCACCUCGUCCUAUCAGUAUGAGGGUGGUGCAAUGGAGGGGGGCAGGGGACCAAGCAUCUGGGACAACUUCACUCACCAGCAUCCAGAUAAAAUCGCCGAUAAAAGCAAUGGGGAUGUGGCAGUGGACUCCUAUCAUCUUUACAAGGAAGAUGUGCGCCUCAUGAAGGAUAUGGGAAUGGAUGCAUAUAGGUUCUCCAUCUCAUGGACAAGAAUUUUUCCGGAUGGAACUCUGAAAGGUGGAGUCAACAAAGAAGGCAUCAAGUAUUACAACAACUUGAUCGAUGAGCUACUGUCCAAAGGGGUGCAGCCAUUUGUGACCCUUUUUCACUGGGACUCUCCACAGGGAUUGGAAGAUAAAUAUGGAGGAUUCCUUAGCCCUAAUAUCAUAAAUGACUACAAAGAUUAUGCUGAAGUCUGCUUCAGAGAAUUAGGAGACCGGGUGAAGCACUGGAUCACGUUCAAUGAGCCCUGGUCCUUCUGUGUCACGGGUUAUGAAAGGGGCGUAUUUGCGCCGGGCCGGGAGCCAUACACUGUAGCCCACCAUCAGAUACUCGCUCAUGCGGCUGCCGCUACGUUGUAUAAACAGAAAUAUAAGGCUGUGCAGAAAGGGGAGAUCGGAAUAAGUUUGGUGUCAAACUGGUUCACUCCCUUGUCCCGUUCAAAAUCAAGCGUCAUCGCAACGAGACGCGCCAUAGAAUUCAUGCUUGGAUGGUUUUUGGACCCGCUCGCCAGAGAAGACUACCCUGGGAGCAUGAAAGAAUUGGUCGGAAACCGUCUGCCGCAGUUCACCAAAAAACAGUCUGCAUUGGUGAAGGGUUCAUUCGACUUCAUUGGAAUCAACUACUAUACUACAAAUUACGCGGGUAAGCUUCCUCUAUCAAAUGGCCUGAGGAACAGCUACUCUACCGAUGCUCAAGCUAAUCUGACCGGUGUUAGAAAUGGUGUCCCCAUAGGUCCUCAGGCUGCUUCACCUUGGCUCUAUGUCUACCCUAAAGGGUUCCAUGAUCUUCUACUUUAUCUCAAGGAGAAGUACCGGAAUCCGACCAUCUACAUCACUGAAAACGGGCAAGUACAUUUUCCUCCCCUGGAAAUGGUGAGCAACCAGGUUGAAACUUAUUUGAAAAAGUAUUUGUCUUCUCUCUAUAUUUUAGGCGUCGAUGAAGCCAACAACAAGAGCCUACCACUCGAGGAAGCCCUCAAGGACGAUGCGAGGAUAGAGUACCACCACAUGCACCUUGAUGCCUUGCUGAGUGCGAUCAGGGAUGGGGCGAACGUGAAGGGGUACUUCGCAUGGUCUUUGUUAGACAACUUCGAGUGGGCGAGCGGGUACACGGUGCGCUUCGGUUUACACUUCGUGGACUAUGACCAUGGUCGGAAGCAAUACCCCAAGCGCUCCGCCGGCUGGUUCAAGAGGUUUCUCAACAGAUGA
RNAcentral lists this ribosomal RNA (1566 nucleotides) under Triticum aestivum (bread wheat). RNAcentral describes it as "partial small subunit ribosomal RNA". The record is from RNAcentral. Lineage: Eukaryota; Viridiplantae; Streptophyta; Magnoliopsida; Poales; Poaceae.